Long non-coding RNA from Pan troglodytes (chimpanzee), 138 nucleotides. RefSeq lists it as uncharacterized. The transcript has 2 exons. The record is from RefSeq and is a predicted model, not a curated record. NCBI's taxonomy places the organism in Eukaryota, Metazoa, Chordata, Mammalia, Primates, Hominidae.
AGGUGUACGUUACAGAGAUAUACAACAGCCUUCAGUUUCAUCAGAUCUCAGUGGACAAAACAUCUGUAAAACUAAAAACCACUAUGAAGUUUCCACCCUCACUGGUAAUCAACAUAAAAGUACCUGGAUAUAGAACAA